This is a non-coding RNA of Pantherophis guttatus, 463 nucleotides long. The record is from RefSeq and is a predicted model, not a curated record. NCBI's taxonomy places the organism in Eukaryota, Metazoa, Chordata, Lepidosauria, Squamata, Colubridae.
UUCUUGACGGGGGAAAAAAAAAAAAAGGGAGUGGAGGAUGGACGGCCGGUUCCGAUUGCUUGAAAAGACACGUUUUAAGCCGGGCGAAAUCGGUCGCCCGCGAAGCUUCGGCCGCGCGGAGAGGAUAAGCUGACGGCUCAACCUAUCCUUAACCGCUUUUGGAGGCCGCGAACCCACAGUCAUAGUUGCAUGUUGAUAUGGGGAGUACGGAGAUGAAGGAAAAUAAAUUCUUAAAUCAUGCAUGUAGAAAAGAAGAUAGAAACACAGAAAUCUAAACGGCUGUGCGAAAAGUUAUAUUUGUUUUGGCUCAAGAGGCAGAAGACAAAAUAAUUCUUAACCAACUGGAAAACACUGACCAUAAGAGGAGAUUUAGAAGAGAUUGUUGCUCUUGCCACAAUUUUCACUCGAACAGAAUAGGAAAUAAAAUGCUAAUUUUCCCAAAUCAACUACAUUAUGAAAAUCA